This 89-nucleotide transfer RNA is filed under the name Bacteroidota bacterium. RNAcentral describes it as "Bacteroidetes bacterium (cold seep metagenome) tRNA-Ser". It matches the Rfam family "tRNA". Rfam says of the family: Transfer RNA (tRNA) molecules are approximately 80 nucleotides in length. Lineage: Bacteria; Pseudomonadati; Bacteroidota. The record is from RNAcentral.
GGAGAGAUGCCGGAGUGGUCGAACGGGACGGUUCGGAAAACCGUUGUUCUGAGUAAUUGGGACCGGGGGUUCGAAUCCCUCUCUCUCCG